This is a long non-coding RNA of Marmota monax (woodchuck), 1557 nucleotides long. RefSeq lists it as uncharacterized. The record is from RefSeq and is a predicted model, not a curated record. Lineage: Eukaryota; Metazoa; Chordata; Mammalia; Rodentia; Sciuridae. The transcript is spliced from 2 exons.
UGCUCUCUGCAGGGUUUCUGCCUGGAGCUCCCUGGGGCCGGGAGCACCCCGAGAGGGAGAGGCCUGGUUACAUCCUGGGCGGCUCUCAGCACUCGGCGAUGCGUUUCUUUCUGCGGCAUGUUUGUUUAAUCUGUGGGUCCCCUGAGAGUCCACGGGCUCUGCCUCGGGUCUCCACUCCGCCUGCGGAAUUUGCCCAGACUUGGCACACGGAGGACGCUACGGACCGGCUGCUGACCCGGGGGGCGGGUAGGUGGACGAUGGAUGGACGAGGGGUGAUGGACGGCCUUCAUUCUCCUGUGCAGACUCAAAGACAGAGGCCCAGAGAGCUUCAAUAGACUGCUCCAUCUCCAACAGCUAGUCCUGGCACAGCAGGAAUUUAAACCCAGCCAGGCCUCUCUGACUAGGCCUGUGAACUCAUCCACACUCCUCUACCACGGACCUCCGAGCAUCAGCGACAUUGACACCUGACUCUGAUCUAACUCACAUGUUCCUUUUUCUUCCCAAAAUAUUGCACAUCCAGCAUCGUAUGUAAUCCUAAAAGCAAAUCCAACCAGUGGUUGGGAAAAGGAUGGCCCCUCUUUCCAGAUGAGGAAACUGAGGCUCAGAGAAGGCCAUGAAUCAGUCACCAUCCCACAGCCAGAAUGGAAGCUGCCUCUCUGAGGCCUCCCAGCCACAGUCACAUGUGUACGGUGACAGCUCAACCCGGGACUGCACUUCCAGAGGGCAGAGGCUGUGUCUUGUUUUGUCUGAUUCACAAAAGGUCCUUAUUAGACAGCAGAGGACGGGAGGCAGGCAGGCACCCUGAACCACUGAGCCGAGGAACCCUCGCCUUCUGACUUGAUGUGGGCCCUACACUACUGCCCUGCUCCUCAGCAAAACACAGACACACACACACACACCCCUGGGGAGCGAGGACAGUGGCAGCUGGCCCCUCUGAUCUGCCUUGUCACACACUAGGAACCAACCAACCCUGGCUCCUCCUGGGCUCCAGUGGCUGUGGCCUGGCACAGGGGGCAGCACUGGGCGGUCUGGGGUUCCCCCACAGAGGCGAGGCUGGGCUCCCGCUGCAGGACCCUCUUGCUGACCGGUGCCACAGUGCCCAGUGCAGGCACGCACUGGGGCUGCUCUGCUCAAACCACGUGCACUGGGGCUGCGGGGGCUGCUGCGUGUACUCACGAGCUCGUGCAUGCGUCUGUGUGCGUGUCUGGUGAGUGUGUGGCGGUGGACCUGCAGGGACUGUGCAGACAGGGUCCUUUCCUGUCACUCCCUGAGCCUCAGUUUUCCUCCUGGGCAAUGGGAACUGGCAUCCAAGGGGGCCUCAGAUUCUUGGUGCUCAGGUCAGCUGGGGAGUCGGCUUUCAGCGAGCGCUGUGGGCCUUCUGGAGCGUUUCCCUCCAGGUUAGUCAAGUCCUCUUGGCCUAGCUGGGCCUGGGCCUGCUCUUCCCAUCUGGAUUAAUAGGAAAGGGGUUCCUAUUUCCGUGUCUCCAUUUGUUACUCAUUUUUUGUUUUCAUAAAAUUUUAAAAGAGUGUGCCAUUUAGACUCAGGCAGAGACUUCAA